UCCCCGUUAGCUCAGUUGGCAGAGCGCUUGACUGUUAAUCAGGAUGUCGCUGGUUCGAGUCCAGCACGGGGAG
Molecule: transfer RNA, 73 nt
Filed under: Armatimonadota bacterium
Lineage: Bacteria; Bacillati; Armatimonadota
Rfam family: tRNA
About the family: Transfer RNA (tRNA) molecules are approximately 80 nucleotides in length. Their secondary structure includes four short double-helical elements and three loops (D, anti-codon, and T loops).
Source: Rfam by way of RNAcentral